This 404-nucleotide unclassified non-coding RNA is filed under the name soil metagenome. Its description in RNAcentral is "partial contains 5.8S ribosomal RNA, internal transcribed spacer 2, and large subunit ribosomal RNA". The stretch from base 1 to 122 matches the Rfam family "5.8S ribosomal RNA", at positions 35 to 154 of the family's 154-position model. The record is from RNAcentral.
GAUGAAGAACGUAGCAAAAUGCGAUACUUGGUGUGAAUUGCAGAAUCCCGUGAACCAUCGAGUUUUUAAACGCAAGUUGCGCCCGAAGCCUUUUGGCCGAGGGCACGUCUGCCUGGGCGUCACGCAUCGCGUCGCCCCCCACAAUUCUCCGUAAAGGGAACAUGUGUUUUGGGGGCGGAUAUUGGUCUCCCGUGCUCAUGGCGUGGUUGGCCGAAAUAGGAGUCCUUUCGAUGGACGCACGAACUAGUGGUGGUCGUAAAAACCCUCGUCUUUUGUUUCGUGCUGUUGGUCGCAAGGUAAACUCUUUAAAAACCCCAAUGUGUCGUCUCUUGACGACGCUUCGACCGCGACCCCAGGUCAGGCGGGACUACCCGCUGAGUUUAAGCAUAUCAAUAAGCGGAGGA